UCGCUGAUGGAUGGACCCGCGGUGCAUUAGCUAGUUGGUGAGGUAACGGCUCACCAAGGCUACGAUGCAUAGCCGACCUGAGAGGGUGAUCGGCCACAUUGGGACUGAGACACGGCCCAAACUCCUACAGGAGGCAGCAGUAGGGAAUCUUCGGCAAUGGACGAAAGUCUGACCGAGCAACGCCGCGUGAGUGAAGAAGGUUUUCGGAUCGUAAAACUCUGUUGUUAGAGAAGAACAAGGAUGAGAGUAACUGUUCAUCCCUUGACGGUAUCUAACCAGAAAGCCACGGCUAACUACGUGCCAGCAGCCGCGGUAAUACGUAGGUGGCAAGCGUUGUCCGGAUUUAUUGGGCGUAAAGCGAGCGCAGGCGGUUUCUUAAGUCUGAUGUGAAAGCCCCCGGCUCAACCGGGGAGGGUCAUUGGAAACUGGGAGACUUGAGUGCAGAAGAGGAGAGUGGAAUUCCCUGUGUAGCGGUGAACUGUCCAGAUAU
This 490-nucleotide ribosomal RNA is filed under the name bacterium Mabisi11. RNAcentral describes it as "bacterial SSU rRNA". It matches the Rfam family "Bacterial small subunit ribosomal RNA", at positions 215 to 697 of the family's 1533-position model. The record is from RNAcentral.